Apis florea (little honeybee) is the source of this 397-nucleotide long non-coding RNA. The record is from RefSeq and is a predicted model, not a curated record. NCBI's taxonomy places the organism in Eukaryota, Metazoa, Arthropoda, Insecta, Hymenoptera, Apidae.
GUGUAUAUCCGUCCGGACGCAUAGAAAUUCACGACAAGAUUUGACGGACGAAACUUUCGAGCCGAGGUAAAUGGUAAUAUGAAUAAAGAAUCAAUGAAUAAAAGAUGUUGCGAGUAGGUGAAAUUUAUUCAUAACCGUUUCGUUUUUUUGGCCGGUAAAAUAAAGGAUAAACUGAAGAGAAGCUUAAAAAAAAAUAAAUAAAUAAAUAAAUAAAAAUAACGAAAGAUAGCACCGCACGAACUUGUUGGCGUAGAGAGAAUGAUUUAAGAUUAUUUGUUAUAAUGGAUUGGACAGAAUAGGACAGCGAGUCCUACGUUUUUCUAACGAACGGACGAGCUGCCAUUUCAAAUAAAAGACUUUCCGCGGAGAAUAAUAACGUCCGUUUCUGGAGUAGGGG